GUAAUACAUCGGAACGUGCCCAGUAGUGGGGGAUAGCCCGGCGAAAGCCGGAUUAAUACCGCAUACGACCUACGGGUGAAAGCGGGGGACCGAAAGGCCUCGCGCUAUUGGAGCGGCCGAUGGCUGAUUAGCUAGUUGGUGGGGUAAAGGCCUACCAAGGCUACGAUCAGUAGCUGGUCUGAGAGGACGACCAGCCACACUGGGACUGAGACACGGCCCAGACUCCUACGGGAGGCAGCAGUGGGGAAUUUUGGACAAUGGGCGAAAGCCUGAUCCAGCAAUGCCGCGUGUGCGAAGAAGGCCUUCGGGUUGUAAAGCACUUUUGUCAGGAAAGAAAUUGUCUGGGCUAAUGCCCCGGGCCGUUGACGGUACCUGAAGAAUAAGCACCGGCUAACUACGUGCCAGCAGCCGCGGUAAUACGUAGGGUGCGAGCGUUAAUCGGAAUUACUGGGCGUAAAGCGUGCGCAGGCGGUUUGUUAAGACAGUUGUGAAAUCCCCGGGCUUAACCUGGGAACUGCAAUUGUGACUGGCAGGCUAGAGUUUGGCAGAGGGGGGUGGAGUUCCUGGUGUAGCAGUGAAAUGCAUAGAUAUCAGGAGGAACACCGAUGGCGAAGGCAGCCCCCUGGGCCAUGACUGACGCUCAUGCA
RNAcentral lists this ribosomal RNA (647 nucleotides) under uncultured bacterium. Its description in RNAcentral is "bacterial SSU rRNA". It matches the Rfam family "Bacterial small subunit ribosomal RNA", at positions 110 to 753 of the family's 1533-position model. The record is from RNAcentral.